RNAcentral lists this transfer RNA (69 nucleotides) under Marmota monax (woodchuck). It matches the Rfam family "tRNA". Rfam says of the family: Transfer RNA (tRNA) molecules are approximately 80 nucleotides in length. Their secondary structure includes four short double-helical elements and three loops (D, anti-codon, and T loops). Further hydrogen bonds mediate the characteristic L-shaped molecular structure. tRNAs have two regions of fundamental functional importance: the anti-codon, which is responsible for specific mRNA codon recognition, and the 3' end, to which the tRNAs corresponding amino acid is attached (by aminoacyl-tRNA synthetases). tRNAs cope with the degeneracy of the genetic code in two manners: having more than one tRNA (with a specific anti-codon) for a particular amino acid; and 'wobble' base-pairing, i.e. permitting non-standard base-pairing at the 3rd anti-codon position. The record is from Rfam by way of RNAcentral. Lineage: Eukaryota; Metazoa; Chordata; Mammalia; Rodentia; Sciuridae.
GGGGUUGUAGCUCAGUGGUAGAGUGCAUGCCUCGUACAUGUGAGGCACUGGGUUCGAUCCUCAACACCA